GAUGAACGCUGGCGGCGUGCCUAAUACAUGCAAGUCGAGCGAACGGACGAGAAGCUUGCUUCUCUGAUGUUAGCGGCGGACGGGUGAGUAACACGUGGAUAACCUACCUAUAAGACUGGGAUAACUUCGGGAAACCGUAGCUAAUACCGGAUAAUAUUUUGAACCGCACGGUUCAAAAGUGAAAGACGGUCUUGCUGUCACUUAUAGAUGGAUCCGCGCUGCAUUAGCUAGUUGGUAAGGUAACGGCUUACCAAGGCAACGAUGCAUAGCCGACCUGAGAGGGGGACGGGCCCACCUGAAACGGAGACCCGGCCCCGCCUCCUAGGGGGGGCAGCAGUGGGGAAUCUGCCGCAAGGGGCGAAACCCUGACGGAGCAACGCCGGGGGAGUGAUGAAGGUUUUGGGAUCGUAAAACUUUUUUUUUGGGGAAGAAAAUUUGUUAAAGUAACUGGGCCAAUCUGGACGGUCCCAAAUCAAAAAGCCCCGGCUAACUCCGG
RNAcentral lists this ribosomal RNA (496 nucleotides) under uncultured bacterium. Its description in RNAcentral is "partial 16S ribosomal RNA". It matches the Rfam family "Bacterial small subunit ribosomal RNA", at positions 28 to 506 of the family's 1533-position model. The record is from RNAcentral.